RNAcentral lists this ribosomal RNA (309 nucleotides) under uncultured bacterium. RNAcentral's name for it is "partial 16S ribosomal RNA". It matches the Rfam family "Bacterial small subunit ribosomal RNA", at positions 504 to 808 of the family's 1533-position model. The record is from RNAcentral.
AGAGACAGCAGCCGCCGCGGGAAUACGUAGGUGGCAAGCGUUGUCCGGAUUUAUUGGGCGUAAAGCGAGCGCAGGCGGUUCCUUAAGUCUGAUGUGAAAGCCCCCGGCUCAACUGGGGAGGGUCAUUGGAAACUGGGGAACUUGAAUGCAGAAGAGGAGAGUGGAAUUCCAUGUGUAGCGGUGAAAUGCGUAGAUAUAUGGAGGAACACCAGUGGCGAAGGCGACUCUCUGGUCUGUAACUGACGCUGAGGCUCGAAAGCGUGGGUAGCAAACAGGAUUAGAUACCCUGUAGUCCCUGUCUCUUAUACA